Molecule: ribosomal RNA, 241 nt
Filed under: Staphylococcus aureus
Lineage: Bacteria; Bacillati; Bacillota; Bacilli; Caryophanales; Staphylococcaceae
Description: partial 16S ribosomal RNA
Rfam family: Bacterial small subunit ribosomal RNA
Source: RNAcentral
UAGUCUGCAACUCGACUACAUGAAGCUGGAAUCGCUAGUAAUCGUAGAUCAGCAUGCUACGGUGAAUACGUUCCCGGGUCUUGUACACACCGCCCGUCACACCACGAGAGUUUGUAACACCCGAAGCCGGUGGAGUAACCUUUUAGGAGCUAGCCGUCGAAGGUGGGACAAAUGAUUGGGGUGAAGUCGUAACAAGGUAGCCGUAUCGGAAGGUGCGGCUGGAUCACCUCCUUUCUAAGGA